GGGGUGCUCGACGACCUGGUGGCCGACGGCCUGCUGCGCCGCCGCCCGACCGGCUGGUUCUGGACCAGCCGCGACCUG
This 78-nucleotide transfer RNA is filed under the name Herbidospora sp. NBRC 101105. Its description in RNAcentral is "tRNA-Ser". Lineage: Bacteria; Bacillati; Actinomycetota; Actinomycetes; Streptosporangiales; Streptosporangiaceae. The record is from RNAcentral.